UGUUUGUGGAGAUGAAUGACCUUGAUAAAU
This 30-nucleotide non-coding RNA is filed under the name Rattus norvegicus (Norway rat). Lineage: Eukaryota; Metazoa; Chordata; Mammalia; Rodentia; Muridae. The record is from RNAcentral.